UUCUGUCUUGUGUCCUAGGCUUCACACCUAGCAUACACUUGUUGUCCUGUUUUGAUCCUCUUCAAAAGGUGGUUUAUAAUCAACUGUAAGACUUUGACAGUUGCUCUCAACAUUCUUCUAAAUGAAGGAAGGAAAAGAAAGAGAAAAAGAAAGAAAGAGAGAGAGAGAAAUAGAGAAAGAAAGAGAGAGAGGGAG
Molecule: long non-coding RNA, 195 nt
Filed under: Pongo abelii (Sumatran orangutan)
Lineage: Eukaryota; Metazoa; Chordata; Mammalia; Primates; Hominidae
Description: lincRNA
Source: RNAcentral